UACGAAGGGGGCUAGCGUUGCUCGGAAUCACUGGGCGUAAAGGGUGUGUAGGCGGGCUUUUAAGUCAGUGGUGAAAUCUCCGGGCUCAACCCGGAAACUGCCAUUGAUACUAUUAGUCUUGAAUUUUGUUGAGGUAGGCGGAAUAAGUCAUGUAGCGGUGAAAUGCAUAGAUAUGACUUAGAACACCAAUUGCGAAGGCAGCUUACUAAGCAAAUAUUGACGCUGAGGCACGAAAGCGUGGGGAUCAAACAGG
RNAcentral lists this ribosomal RNA (253 nucleotides) under uncultured bacterium. Its description in RNAcentral is "partial 16S ribosomal RNA". It matches the Rfam family "Bacterial small subunit ribosomal RNA", at positions 524 to 776 of the family's 1533-position model. The record is from RNAcentral.